This 253-nucleotide ribosomal RNA is filed under the name uncultured bacterium. RNAcentral describes it as "partial 16S ribosomal RNA". It matches the Rfam family "Bacterial small subunit ribosomal RNA", at positions 524 to 776 of the family's 1533-position model. The record is from RNAcentral.
UACAGAGGUCUCAAGCGUUGUUCGGAUUCAUUGGGCGUAAAGGGUGCGUAGGCGGCGCGGUAAGUCGGGUGUGAAAUCUCGGAGCUUAACUCCGAAACUGCAUUCGAUACUGCCGUGCUUGAGGACUGGAGAGGAGACUGGAAUUUACGGUGUAGCGGUGAAAUGCGUAGAUAUCGUAAGGAAGACCAGUGGCGAAGGCGGGUCUCUGGACAGUUCCUGGCGCUGAGGCACGAAGGUCAGGGGAGCAAACGGG